RNAcentral lists this ribosomal RNA (301 nucleotides) under uncultured bacterium. Its description in RNAcentral is "partial 16S ribosomal RNA". It matches the Rfam family "Bacterial small subunit ribosomal RNA", at positions 509 to 809 of the family's 1533-position model. The record is from RNAcentral.
CAGCAGCCGCGGGAAAACAGAGGGUGCGAGCGUUAAUCGGAUUUACUGGGCGUAAAGCGUGCGUAGGCGGCUUCUUAAGUCGGAUGUGAAAUCCCUGAGCUUAACUUAGGAAUUGCAUUCGAUACUGGGAAGCUAGAGUAUGGGAGAGGAUGGUAGAAUUCCAGGUGUAGCGGUGAAAUGCGUAGAGAUCUGGAGGAAUACCGAUGGCGAAGGCAGCCAUCUGGCCUAAUACUGACGCUGAGGUACGAAAGCAUGGGGAGCAAACAGGAUUAGAUACCCGUGUAGUCCCUGUCUCUUAUAA